RNAcentral lists this ribosomal RNA (719 nucleotides) under Apilactobacillus kunkeei. Its description in RNAcentral is "bacterial SSU rRNA". It matches the Rfam family "Bacterial small subunit ribosomal RNA", at positions 337 to 1049 of the family's 1533-position model. The record is from RNAcentral. Lineage: Bacteria; Bacillati; Bacillota; Bacilli; Lactobacillales; Lactobacillaceae.
UUUUUCACGAGCCCAUUAGGAAUCUUCCACAAUGGACGAAAGUCUGAUGGAGCAACGCCGCGUGAGUGAUGAAGGUUUUCGGAUCGUAAAACUCUGUUGUUAAAGAAGAACAAGUGUUAGAGUAACUGUUAACACUUUGACGGUAUUUAACCAGAAAGCCACGGCUAACUACGUGCCAGCAGCCGCGGUAAUACGUAGGUGGCAAGCGUUGUCCGGAUUUAUUGGGCGUAAAGCGAGCGCAGGCGGUUUUGUAAGUCUGCUGUGAAAGCCCUCAGCUCAACUGAGGAAGUGCAGUGGAAACUACAAAACUUGAGUACAGAAGAGGAAAGUGGAACUCCAUGUGUAGCGGUGAAAUGCGUAGAUAUAUGGAAGAACACCAGUGGCGAAGGCGGCUUUCUGGUCUGUUACUGACGCUGAGGCUCGAAAGCAUGGGUAGCGAACAGGAUUAGAUACCCUGGUAGUCCAUGCCGUAAACGAUGAAUACUAGGUGUUGGAGGGUUUCCGCCCUUCAGUGCCGCAGCUAACGCAUUAAGUAUUCCGCCUGGGGAGUACGACCGCAAGGUUGAAACUCAAAGGAAUUGACGGGGGCCCGCACAAGUGGUGGAGCAUGUGGUUUAAUUCGAUGCUACGCGAAGAACCUUACCAGCUCUUGACAUCUUCUGCCAACCCAAGAGAUUGGGCGUUCCCUUCGGGGACCAGAAUGAAACAAGGGGUGGGGU